This 204-nucleotide ribosomal RNA is filed under the name uncultured prokaryote. Its description in RNAcentral is "partial 16S ribosomal RNA". The record is from RNAcentral.
GUUUCCUGCGCUUACACGCAAGGUAAACGCGAACAAUUCAGCGGCUUUAACCGGACGCUCGACGCCAUUAAUAAUGUUUUCCGUAAAUUCAGCGCCUUCCAUGAUGAGACAGGCCGUUUGAAUGUUGACGGGAUGAACAUAAUAAGCAAUGACGGCAGCAAUAAACUCAACAGGAGCAGGAAAGCGAGGGUAUCCUACAAAGUC